UGUCGAGCAAGCGGUGCAGGAAAGAGAACGGAUAGGCCGGUAUCCGAGCCGGCCUUGACCGUAUCUCCGCUUAUCGCCGCGUUCGCGCUCCAUAGUCGACGUCACGCGUCGCGUUGUCGACGCCGAGAUUCCUCGCGCAGUGUACCCCAACGAUUCAAUCUGGGACAGACUCGUCGAUACCCGAAUAGCUGAAUUUAUUUACGAGACUUUUCGAAACUCUGGUGAAUUUUAUCGAGAAAUAUCGAAAACUACGGGGGUAACGUUCAACAAAUGAUUUCGAUGCUGCAUCGAAAUUGAUACACUUAUUCGUUACGGCAAUACGCAUCGCCAGCUAAUAAAAGGAAUUACGUAAUUUGCUUAAUCGAUAUAAUUAUCGCGAAAUUAAUUCGAGCGAUCGCCGACGUGGAAAUUCGUGCCCGCGGACCAAAGUUAAUAGGGCCGAUCAUCGAGACGCAUCCUACAAACGAUUUCCAUUACCGGUGCAUCGCGAAGAAAAUUUUACCCCCGUUCGUUCGAGACGGUACAACGGUCUUCGCCGGUCGCUGCGAUCCGCGAGUCCAAGGUACGCUGACACGGAGUAACGCGUGCAUAAACACCGGUAACGAACCGACGUUCACUCCAGGAUUCUGGUAUCUCAGCCGAGGAGGAUCGGACAAGAAGACAUCGUCGUCGAGCUGGCAUCGUUCGGUGAACGAGCAACAAUCGUUGCGCCUUUUUGUUCGUGCGUGCGUCGUCGUCGGCUGGUUACAAUUUCACAAUAAGUGGGGGAACUCGCAGUCUUUUGCCAUCCUCGGAUUAACACCGUUUAACCCUCCGUGAAGGAGCCAUCUUGAAGAAGCUUAAAGAGCCUACCGUUGAUACUGCCAGAAAUCAUUCCGAGCGCCAGGGCCAUCGCAUUCGACACCGGAAAUGGAGACGACUGGACAGUGGAGUUCCUCUUGCGCGACGGGCACGCAUGGGAUUCCGGGACGCUCCUCUCGUUAUCGCCCACCGUAACAGUCGAUCGAGCCAGUUACCUUCGAGCCGGCCUUGCGUCGUUGCCUCCUCCGACGACACCUGCGAGGAACAUCGUAAACGAACCCCCGAAGAGACAAUUCCCUCGAAAAUGUAACGCCACCUCGUCAACCCCGAUAGUAUACCACGUACUUUUCUCUUCCUGUCCCUCUGUUUAAAACCGUGAUUAGACCAAUUCAUCCUCAGAUGCGUACAAGAAGAAAGCAGUGGUUCGUCGUUCCCUUCGCUGCUCGUCACCGCGCGUAUUUUCCAAGGAUUGAAAACCCGAGAGCCGGGGCAUCGACGCGUUACGCUCGGAACGGCUCGCAAACCGACACGGUUCGUUUCCACGAUAUUCGUGUUACUGUCAAAACACCGUUCGUUACGUCCGUUCCGUGUUAUAAUCGAAGUAUACGGGUGCAUGUGGGCGCAACGAUAAAGCAAAAUAUUUACCGAGAGCUCGCCGCUGGAAGAGCUAAUUAAAUAGACCACGAUUUACGGGAGAGCCUUGCUAUUUUCGCGUCGUUUUUCGCGACGCAUAAAAUCGACCGGUGUCGAAGCGCGGCGACGCAUCGCGGCGGAACACUUUUCGUUUAAUUAAAUCGUAUAACGGGCCCCCGAGACGCGUAAAAAUACAUCACGCCCGUUAUUCCCCCCUCCGUUUCUGUCGCGCGCCUUUCAAAAUAGCGCCGCGUCGUGGCUUCUAAUCUGUUAUCGGGCGUAAUUUAUUUUUAAUGUCGGCUCGACGUUGCAGCGCGACGAUGAAAAUCGGUUGGCUCGUUGGUAGUUUUAUUCGUGCGAUAUUUAGAUUAGUCGAGUUCGCUACACAUUGAAAACAUGGGCUUGGAAAUUAUUAGACGUUUUCGCAACAUUUUGCCGAAACUCGACAUUGGAUGGACAUUGAACUCGGGAAUGACAAUGAUAAUCUGUGCGAAGAAUCAUAGCAGUCUCCUUUUUCGUUCUUCGUUACAUUGGUAGUUAGACUGCCUGAAUUAUGCGAACAACUGUUACCGUUGACAGUUGAAAUGACUGGUGUUAUUGUCCAGUGUGGUAAGCAUGAGUCCUACACAUGAAUUAUAUCCGUAACUUUUUUAUCCAUUGAAUAAACAGUCCGUGCGUCCAACUGAAAAUAUAUGGUUGUUUUUAUUUUUUUUUUUUUGCUCGGCAAUCAUAUUAUAUAUAAAAUAAGUUACCACAAAUAUAUGUUUUUCAAAAUAACCAUAUUAGAACAUUUGUAAGAAAUUUUUCAUUAAACAUAAUAUCAUAAUUGCAGCUUCCAGCGAAGUAGCUCCCUAGCUACUUAUUUUCGUCCGCGGCAAAAGUUUUAACUGUGACCUCGUGUCAUAUUACACAAUCCCGAAACACACCUUGUUCCGGCAACGAAUUAUAACCAAAUUUGAGUGAAUCGAUACACGAAGGUGUCGGUUCAUUUGGAUAAAAAUGACGACAACGAUGACGAACCUUUGCUACCCAAGCUAUCUCCUCUGUGUUACAUCCUAUGUAACGUGGUAAUAAUGUCCACGAUGCGCACCUUCAAGGUCUCUUCGUCCGAAAGUAGAAGUAGCAUUUUCCUUAGGCCCUAUAGUGUUACCUACAUGUCGGUGUCUAUCGGAUACGAAAU
Molecule: long non-coding RNA, 2614 nt
Organism: Hylaeus anthracinus
Lineage: Eukaryota; Metazoa; Arthropoda; Insecta; Hymenoptera; Colletidae
Exons: 6
Source: RefSeq, a predicted model, not a curated record